This is a non-coding RNA of Aspergillus ochraceoroseus IBT 24754, 113 nucleotides long. The record is from the annotation of a RefSeq genome assembly. Lineage: Eukaryota; Fungi; Ascomycota; Eurotiomycetes; Eurotiales; Aspergillaceae.
GGCAAGAUGGCCGAGUGGUUAAGGCGUCAGCCUCGAAUAUGCGAGUACUACCAAGUGACUUCCAUCUUUAGCUGAUCCCUUCGGGGUCCUGGGUUCAAAUCCCAGUCUUGUCG